This 586-nucleotide long non-coding RNA is filed under the name Triticum aestivum (bread wheat). RNAcentral's name for it is "long non-coding RNA (TAES_LNC006351)". The record is from RNAcentral. Lineage: Eukaryota; Viridiplantae; Streptophyta; Magnoliopsida; Poales; Poaceae.
CCUGAAUGAAAACAACAUGGUGUAGUGUUGCAUAUGAUCAUUUAGUUUUGCUUUCCUUUUUCCAAUCUUGUGUGAAUUGUAUAGCUGUUUCUCAAGAACUCGUAACUUCUGUUGUUGGGAAUUUUAGGGAGAUGUAAAUCUGAAUAAAUAGGAGUAUUAAGUGAAACACAUGUUGAAUUUGACCUCUUUUGUCAUAUAGUUUGCUUCCUUUUUUCCAAUCUUACAUGAAUUUUGUUGUCUAACAGAUGGGCUCUGAGUUUGGACUUGGGCAUGGCCGCCGUGCAGUCCGCCACCGCUGUCUCCCCCUCUGCGUCAGCAUCCCGUCUCCUGCAGGACCAUGGCCUCCGCAGCGCCGGCGUCAUCGAGCACAGCAAUGCCGACGCCACUGGGGCGUGUAGUAUACUGGAGGCUCUGUGUCAUACGAGUAGAUCAUCCAAGAUGGUUCCCACUUGCACAUCAAUGCUCACAAGUACUUGCAGUACUAGUUUGUUUUAGGCUGCUGCUGUAAUCAACUAUGUGCUUCCUAGUCAUUUUCUGCAUCGUAUUGAACAUUAUUUAGUUUAAUGUAUGGCAUGAAACUAUUUUC